UUCGGCAGCACAUAUACAAAAAAAUAAAAAAAUUGGAACGAUACAGAGAAGAUUAGCAUGGCCCCUGUGCAAGGAUGACACGCAAAUAUGUGAAGCGUUCCAUAUGAAA
Xenopus tropicalis (tropical clawed frog) is the source of this 109-nucleotide small nuclear RNA. NCBI's taxonomy places the organism in Eukaryota, Metazoa, Chordata, Amphibia, Anura, Pipidae. The record is from Ensembl.